Molecule: ribosomal RNA, 467 nt
Filed under: uncultured bacterium
Lineage: Bacteria
Description: partial 16S ribosomal RNA
Rfam family: Bacterial small subunit ribosomal RNA
Source: RNAcentral
GACGAACGCUGGCGGCGUGCUUAACACAUGCAAGUCGAACGGAAAGGCCCUGCUUUUGCGGGGUGCUCGAGUGGCGAACGGGUGAGUAACACGUGAGUAACCUGCCCUUGACUUUGGGAUAACUUCAGGAAACUGGGGCUAAUACCGGAUAGGAGCUCCUGCUGCAUGGUGGGGGUUGGAAAGUUUCGGCGGUUGGGGAUGGACUCGCGGCUUAUCAGCUUGUUGGUGGGGUAGUGGCUUACCAAGGCUUUGACGGGUAGCCGGCCUGAGAGGGUGACCGGCCACAUUGGGACUGAGAUACGGCCCAGACUCCUACGGGAGGCAGCAGUGGGAAUAUUGCACAAUGGGCGGAAGCCUGAUGCAGCAACGCCGCGUGCGGGAUGACGGCCUUCGGGUUGUAAACCGCUUUCGCCUGUGACGAAGCGUGAGUGACGGUAAUGGGUAAAGAAGCACCGGCUAACUACGUG